CUGUUGCUACAACCGCUCAAAACAGGUUCUAAAAGCCCGAGAGGCACCUGCAUGGCGAGUCUGAGUAUUAUA
This is a regulatory RNA element of Pontibacillus marinus BH030004 = DSM 16465, 72 nucleotides long. Lineage: Bacteria; Bacillati; Bacillota; Bacilli; Caryophanales; Bacillaceae. The record is from Rfam.